UGGGCGUGGAUGUUGGGCCGAUACACGCUAAUACCCGGGGGACAGAAAAAUCGCCACCCGAGGCGUGGAAGACACACUGUCGCUCUCCUCACGUGCGAGCGCCGCCACCUCAUCUUCCCAUCGAACUCCGCCGACCCCGCAUCUUCCCAUACGAGCUGUGUUUCUCCAAGUUCGCUGUUGGCCAUAUCGACGUCGUCAUCCUCGAUCCAGACGAGUGUGUGUGCCAUCUCCACGGGUCUUCGACGGAUUUAGAUUGCAUUGUACCAAGGAUAAGAAAAAUGGAUAAGCGAACUAGGAAUAGGAGAGAAGAGGAGGAUGAGGA
Molecule: long non-coding RNA, 322 nt
Organism: Zea mays
Lineage: Eukaryota; Viridiplantae; Streptophyta; Magnoliopsida; Poales; Poaceae
Exons: 2
Source: RefSeq, a predicted model, not a curated record